This 560-nucleotide ribosomal RNA is filed under the name uncultured bacterium. Its description in RNAcentral is "partial 16S ribosomal RNA". It matches the Rfam family "Bacterial small subunit ribosomal RNA", at positions 355 to 1375 of the family's 1533-position model. The record is from RNAcentral.
UGGGGAAUAUUGGACAAUGGGCGCAAGCCUGAUCAGCAAUGCCGCGUGGGUGAAGAAGGUCUUCGGAUUGUAAAGCCCUUUCGACAGGGACGAUGAUGACGGUACCUGUAGAAGAAGCCCCGGCUAACUUCGUGCCAGCAGCCGCGGUAAUACGAAGGGGGCUAGCGUUGCUCGGAAUUACUGGGCGUAAAGGGCGCGUAGGCGGCUUGCUUAGUCAGACGUGAAAAUCCUGGGCUUAACCUGGGGACUGCGUUUGAUACGGGCAGGCUUGAGGAUGGAAGAGGCUCGUGGAAUUCCCAGUGUAGAGGUGAAAUUCGUAGAUAUUGGGAAGAACACCGGUGGCGAAGGCGGCGAGCUGGUCCAUUACUGACGCUGAGGCGCGACAGCGUGGGGAGCAAACAGGAUUAGAUACCCUGGUAGUCCACGCCGUAAACGAUGUGCGCUGGAUGUCGGGUGGCCUAGCCACUCAGAGUCGUAGCCAACGCGAUAAGCGCACCGCCUGGGGAGUACGGCCGCAAGGUUGAAACUCAAAUGAAUUGACGGGGUCAUAGCUGUUUCCU